RNAcentral lists this ribosomal RNA (464 nucleotides) under uncultured bacterium. Its description in RNAcentral is "partial 16S ribosomal RNA". It matches the Rfam family "Bacterial small subunit ribosomal RNA", at positions 339 to 795 of the family's 1533-position model. The record is from RNAcentral.
CUACGGGCGGCUGCAGCUAAGAAUCUUCCGCAAUGGGCGAAAGCCUGACGGAGCGACGCCGCGUGGGUGAAGAAGGCCGAGAGGUUGUAAAGCCCUUUUCUGCUUGAGGAAUAAGCGUCGGAGGGAAUGCCGGUGUGAUGACGGUAGGGCAGGAAUAAGCCCCGGCUAAUUACGUGCCAGCAGCCGCGGUAACACGUAUGGGGCGAGCGUUGUUCGGAAUCAUUGGGCGUAAAGGGCGUGUAGGCGGAAAUGCAAGUCUGGUGUGAAAGACCGCAGCUCAACUGCGGGACCGCGCUGGAAACUGCAUAUCUUGAGUUCCGGAGGGGGAGUUGGAAUUCCUGGUGUAGGGGUGAAAUCUGUUGAUAUCAGGAAGAACACCGGUGGCGAAGGCGAACUCCUGGACGAGAACUGACGCUGAGGCGCGAAAGCGUGGGGAGCGAACAGGAUUAGAUACCCUCGUAGUC